This 458-nucleotide ribosomal RNA is filed under the name uncultured bacterium. RNAcentral describes it as "bacterial SSU rRNA". It matches the Rfam family "Bacterial small subunit ribosomal RNA", at positions 27 to 507 of the family's 1533-position model. The record is from RNAcentral.
GGACGAACGCUGGCGGCGUGCCUAACACAUGCAAGUCGAACGGAGCACUUCGGUGCUUAGUGGCGAACGGGUGAGUAACGCGUGAGCAACCUGCCUUCCAGUGGGGGACAACAGUUGGAAACGACUGCUAAUACCGCAUAAUGUAGCGAGACCGCAUGAUCUUGCUACCAAAGCUUUAUGUGCUGGAAGAUGGCCUCGCGUCUGAUUAGAUAGUUGGUGAGGUAACGGCUCACCAAGUCGACGAUCAGUAGCCGGUCUGAGAGGAUGAACGGCCACAUUGGGACUGAGAUACGGCCCAGACUCCUACGGGAGGCAGCAGGUGGGGAAUAUUGGGCAAUGGGGGAAACCCUGACCCAGCAACGCCGCGUGAAGGAAGAAGGCCUUCGGGUUGUAAACUUCUUUUAGCAGGGACGAAGAACGUGACGGUACCUGCAGAAAAAGCAACGGCUAACUACGUG